This 307-nucleotide long non-coding RNA is filed under the name Capsicum annuum. RNAcentral's name for it is "long non-coding RNA (CANN_LNC001984)". The record is from RNAcentral. Lineage: Eukaryota; Viridiplantae; Streptophyta; Magnoliopsida; Solanales; Solanaceae.
CCAAACCAUGAGUGUUUGAGAGCCCAUUUCUAUCUGGCAAUCACACAUACAAUCCAUAUACUAUAAAAUAAAUAUAGAAAAAGAUAAUAAAACAAAAGCAUGGACAAUCUCUUAACUCAACUGAUCAAUGUGAAAUUUGAGCUCAUAACAUUAAAAAACAUAUGACACCAGUCUGCGAAAUCUCUAACAAUAUGAAAACCAACAUCUGUCUAAAAGAUGGGACAAGGCCCCAAGUUUGACCAUGAACCAAAACAAAUAACAAUGUCUUUAUAAACACAGCCUUCCAAAAUAAAGGAGGUUCACUAAU